AACGAACGCUGGCGGCAUGCCUAACACAUGCAAGUCGAACGAGACCUUCGGGUCUAGUGGCGCACGGGUGCGUAACGCGUGGGAACCUGCCCUUAGGUUCGGAAUAACUCCCCGAAAGGGGUGCUAAUACCGGAUAAUGUCUUCGGACCAAAGAUUUAUCGCCUUUGGAUGGGCCCGCGUUGGAUUAGCUAGUUGGUAGGGUAAAAGCCUACCAAGGCGACGAUCCAUAGCUGGUCUGAGAGGAUGACCAGCCACACUGGGACUGAGACACGGCCCAGACUCCUACGGGAAGCAGCAGUGGGGAAUAUUGGACAAUGGGCGAAAGCCUGAUCCAGCAAUGCCGCGUGAGUGAUGAAUGCCUUAGUGUUGUAAAGCUCUUUUACCCGGGAUGAUAAUGACAGUACCGGGAGAAUAAGCUCCGGCUAACUCCGUG
RNAcentral lists this ribosomal RNA (433 nucleotides) under uncultured bacterium. Its description in RNAcentral is "partial 16S ribosomal RNA". It matches the Rfam family "Bacterial small subunit ribosomal RNA", at positions 29 to 507 of the family's 1533-position model. The record is from RNAcentral.